RNAcentral lists this long non-coding RNA (232 nucleotides) under Gossypium barbadense (sea-island cotton). RNAcentral's name for it is "long non-coding RNA (GBAR_LNC016749)". Lineage: Eukaryota; Viridiplantae; Streptophyta; Magnoliopsida; Malvales; Malvaceae. The record is from RNAcentral.
CCGAUGGCAUUGAAGAUGACGUAGCUUAACGUCAAUGGAAGAAUUAGCUCAAGCCAAUGUACCGGUAUAGGGGCCUUUAGGCCUAUCGAACAUUGGAGCGGGGGAGGGGCCGUAUGGACACUCUACGAAGGAAGUAGCAUGGGUCAAGUCCUCCGCACGCCCUUGUGCCAGCGUAGAGCAGAACAAUUGAAUUUUAAAGGUUAGCAGUUGUUAGGCAAGCAGUGGCUAUAGG